This is a long non-coding RNA of Morone saxatilis (striped sea-bass), 272 nucleotides long. RefSeq lists it as uncharacterized. NCBI's taxonomy places the organism in Eukaryota, Metazoa, Chordata, Actinopteri, Moronidae. The record is from RefSeq and is a predicted model, not a curated record. The transcript is spliced from 3 exons.
AGGAGGCGGGAGAGACGGCAUUACAUUAUUGUGUUCGGACAGCUGAUCACUCCUCUCUCCACCUGGUCGACUUCCUGGUCCAGAACAGUGGUAACCUGGACGGACAGACGGAUGGAGGGAACACAGCUCUGCAUUACUGCUGCCUGUACAACAAACCACAGUGUGUGAAACUGCUACUGAGAGGAAAACCUGACAUCCACAUCACCAAUCAGAGUGGAGAGACGGCACUGGACAUUGCCCGCAGACUGAAAAACUCCCAGUGUGAAGAACCG